Molecule: ribosomal RNA, 119 nt
Filed under: Basidiobolus meristosporus CBS 931.73
Lineage: Eukaryota; Fungi; Basidiobolomycota; Basidiobolomycetes; Basidiobolales; Basidiobolaceae
Source: RNAcentral
AGCAUUGACCAUGCAUACCAGAAAAUACUGGAUCCUGUCCAAUCUCUGAAGGUGGAUUGGUAAUGGCCUAGUCAGUACAAUGGUGGGGGACCAUGUGAGUAUACUAAAUGUUGAUGUUU